This 1424-nucleotide ribosomal RNA is filed under the name human gut metagenome. RNAcentral's name for it is "bacterial LSU rRNA". It matches the Rfam family "Bacterial large subunit ribosomal RNA", at positions 1105 to 2542 of the family's 2925-position model. The record is from RNAcentral.
CUUGGAAGCAGCCAUUCAUUUAAAGAGUGCGUAACAGCUCACUAGUCGAGCGAUCCCGCGUGGAUAAUACACGGGCAUCAAACUGUCAACCGAAGCCGUGGGGUUAGUUAAUGACUGACCGGUAGGAGAGCAUUCCUGCCAGCUUUGAAGGUCACCCGCGAGAGUGACUGGAGCGGCAUGAAAAGCAAAUGUAGGCAUAAGUAACGAUAAUGGGGGCGAGAACCCCCCACGCCGCAAGACCAAGGAUUCCCCGGCAAUGUCAAUCAGCCGGGGGUCAGCCGGCCUCUAAGGCUAACCCGAACGGGGACGCCGACGAGAAACGGGUUAACAUUCCCGUGCUUCUCGUCACCGUGACGCGGUGACGGGGUGAUGAAUGGACCGCGCGCUGACGGAAUAGCGCGUUGAAGGCCGUACCCUGUGACGGUGGUAGUCAAGCACGCCACCGGAGGCGAAAGUCGAUAGUACCUCGAGGCCUCGGCCGAGGGGAUAGCGUCCAGGCAAUUUACCCCCUAGAAAACCCGCUAAACUUCAAGUGACGAGGAACCGUACUGUAAACGGACACACGUGGUCGGGUAGAACAUACCAAGGCGCUCGAGUGAUUCAUGGUCAAGGAACUAGGCAAAAUAGUCCUGUAACUUCGGGAAAAAGGACGCUCUAGUGAUAGAGCCGCAGAGUAAUGGCCCAGGCGACUGUUUACCAAAAACACAUGGCUAUGCCAAAUCGAAAGAUGACGUAUAUGGCCUGACACCUGCCCGGUGCCGGAAGGUUAAGAGGAGAGCUCAUCCGCGAGGAGAAGGUUUGAAUUGAAGCCCCGGUAAACGGCGGCCGUAACUAUAACGGUCCUAAGGUAGCGAAAUUCCUUGUCGGGUAAGUUCCGACCUGCACGAAUGGUGUAACGAUCUGGGCACUGUCUCGACCAUGAGCUCGGUGAAAUUGUAGUUCCGGUGAAGAUGCCGGGUACCCGCGACGGGACGGAAAGACCCCGUGAACCUUUACUGCAGCUUCGCGUUGUUCCCGGGCACGGGACGUGUAGGAUAGGUCGGAGGCUACGAGUCGGUUUCGCCAGGAAUCGAGGAGCCAUCGUUGAAAUACGACCCUUCUCUUGUCUGGGAUCUAACCCUUUGUAUAGGGGACACCGCGUGGUGGGUAGUUUGACUGGGGUGGUCGCCUCCAAAAGCGUAACGGAGGCUUCCAAAGGUACCCUCGGGUUGGUUGGUAAUCAACCGUAGAGUGCAAUGGCACAAGGGUGCUUGACCGGGAGACCAACGAGUCGAUCGGGUGCGAAAGCAGGGCAUAGUGAUCCGGUGAUCCCGCGUGGAAGGGUCAUCGCUCAAAGGAUAAAAGGUACUCCGGGGAUAACAGGCUGAUCGCCCCCAAGAGCUCAUAUCGACGGGGCGGUUUGGCACCUCGAUGUCGGCUCGUCA